This 84-nucleotide transfer RNA is filed under the name Echinostoma caproni. It matches the Rfam family "tRNA". From Rfam's summary of the family: Transfer RNA (tRNA) molecules are approximately 80 nucleotides in length. Their secondary structure includes four short double-helical elements and three loops (D, anti-codon, and T loops). Lineage: Eukaryota; Metazoa; Platyhelminthes; Trematoda; Plagiorchiida; Echinostomatidae. The record is from Rfam by way of RNAcentral.
GGCCCCGUAGCUCAGCUGGUAGAGUGUGCGCUUUACAGAAGCGUAGGCGGCGUCCAUGUGUGGGGUCGAAUCCCGCCGAGGCUA